UGUAACCCUUGAAAGGGGAAGCCGCUGAGGCUUGGAGCAGCUCAGUUCAAGCCUGGUCUCUGCCUUCCAGAAGCGGCCGUGGUCAUAUAUGCUCCAGCUCCCUCACAGGGCGCCGAUUAAUCACCUACCCAACAACCUCAUUUAACAGAUGAGAGAACAGACCUACAGAGGUAAACAGCCUUGCCCAAGCCCCAGAUAGCCUAGUGAGUCAAUGGCAGGAUUGAAACCAGAAUCCAGGGUGACUCAGGGCGGUGGAAACUAUAAAAUACUCGGAAAAUAGAGUCCUGUAAAUCCAAAAUAUCCCCACACACUUUUCACCUUUAUGAGGUGUUGUCUUUAAGGCCCGGUCAGAAUGACUUGAGUUAUAAGAUUAAGCAAACAUUUGGAGGAACCCCAGGCCCUUGGAAACAGCAGCCCUUGUGUUGGCCUCACCUCUCUUCCCUGGGAGGAGAGAGCAUGCAGGGCAGUGGGAAGCGCAUGGACUGGGGCUUCUGGCAAGUCAGGGUUUGAAUCUCAGCUUCACAAACAGUGGGAGUUACCCUCUCGGAGCCUCAGUUUGCUCACCUCUAGGAUGGGAUGAUGACACCUCCCUCACCAAGCUCCUGCGUGGAAUAGUCCCUCGGAGUCCCUGAAAAUUUGAGCAACAUAAAGUGGCGUGACAGGUGAAUUUGUACACAGUUGGGAGGGGAGGAAUGUCUGCUGGAUUCUCAGAAGACCAGAUGGUGUUCGCACUUUGGAUAUAAUUCAGCUAUUUCCCCAAAGGACAGAUCAAGGACAAAGGAGCUGUGUCCCUAGUAAGAUAGCAUUCUUUCAAUACGAAGAUGUAUUUUUGGCCACAAGGGGCCUUUUGAAAACUACCUCUUGGGCAGUUACAGACUCUGUGGCCCUUGAGAGCCACAGGUCAAAGGUCAAGGCCCAUAGAAAUGGCUGUAUCCCAGGACUCGGGGCAGUGGGACUGCUUAUCCUCCUGAGGCCCCUGUGGUGUGGUCAUGGGUACUGCCAAUGUCUGCGCCGCUCUGGGCACUGUCUCAAGCAAAGUUUCCCUGUGACUGGAACACCCGCAGCCCUACUCAGCACGCAGGCAGCGACACAGCAGCAAACAACUUGCGUCUGUUUCCUGGUGGCUUGUUCUCUGGGACGCAGAAAAGAACAUGGCGACCGCCAACAUUCAGGCCUAUCUGGGAGAUGAGCUGUGGUGAAAGGGUUCCAUUUAGUUCAGAUCCAGUCGGAAUUAAAAGCUUAAGUAGAAGAACCAAGCCAAGAGUGAAGAGCCCGGGGCAGCACCGGCCCUAAGAGGAUCCCUCAGAAGAGCAGAGGCUUCAUUCAUUCACUCAUUCAUUUAACACAUGUUACGACUGAGCUACAAGAGAAAGAACAUGUAUUGAGAAGCUACUAUGUGUCAGGUUCUAACAUGAGAGGACAACCACUGGACAGCCCCCUACAACAAUUAUCCAGUCCACGGUGCAACAGUGUCAAGGUUGAGAAACCCUGAAUUAUAGGCAUUCAUAUGGAUGAAUCCCAUAAACACAAUGUUGAGUGCAGAAAGCAAGUUGCAGAAGAACUAAUAUAGCAUAAUACUGUUUUUUUUAAGAGCUCAAAGGUGAGAAAACAAAAAGAGUAUAUUGUUU
This is a long non-coding RNA of Equus caballus (horse), 1628 nucleotides long. NCBI's taxonomy places the organism in Eukaryota, Metazoa, Chordata, Mammalia, Perissodactyla, Equidae. The record is from Ensembl.